CUCCGCCCCUCUUCCUUCUUCAGCUUGUAACUCCGACCACCGACCACGACUGUGGGCGAGGCCGGUACCAAAACGACCGGAAAGACGUCCUCUUCCUUCCCCGACCCUUCCCGGCCGGCGACGUGACCUGCGCUGGCCGGAAAUCGCGCCGGAACCGACAAUGCUCACCAGAUCUUCAAGUCGCUCGUUCUCCCUCAAUUCUUCUCCAAAUUUGUCGAGUAAGGCACCCGGGACCAGGCAGGCCCGCAAGAGAGACCUUCAGGAGGUCUAGCUAGCUCGGACCAGGAGCUCUAGCGUGCACAGGAAAUCAACCACCGGGCCAUCUCGCCUUCCUCGCUUCAUUGUUACAAAAGUGUUGGUUGGUAAAAAGGUUCAUUCCUCUGUAAACUAUUAGAAUUGCUAUGAUAUAUUGCCCUAGAGUGAGAUUGGAACUUUUGGCAUGUAUAUUGAAGUGCUGGUAGUUGGUUGUGUGAAUAUUUUGCUCGUUCUGACAGGUGGAAAUUUUGGGAUUGAGCAAAUUACAGGGGAGACUGCCAAAUUUUCGGCAGGAGUCAAGGUUGAAAUUUCAAUUAGAAGGGCAAUUAGGUCAAUUGUGCCCGACAUUCGCCAAGUGUCGGACACGCACAGGGUUCGACUCGAAUUCCAAAGCGAAAUUUGGUUCGGGUCCUGUCAUUUUUGCUGUUAUUUAGAGCAAAAAUUAUUUAAGGGCUUGACAUUUCUGUUAAAAAACGGGCAGAACCUACCCUGAAAAAUGGACAUUUUCCCAAAAAAUUUACCUGUAAAUAUGACAAUUUAAUAGUA
Prunus persica (peach) is the source of this 801-nucleotide RNA transcript. RefSeq lists it as uncharacterized. The record is from RefSeq and is a predicted model, not a curated record. The transcript is spliced from 3 exons. NCBI's taxonomy places the organism in Eukaryota, Viridiplantae, Streptophyta, Magnoliopsida, Rosales, Rosaceae.